Molecule: ribosomal RNA, 362 nt
Filed under: uncultured bacterium
Lineage: Bacteria
Description: bacterial SSU rRNA
Rfam family: Bacterial small subunit ribosomal RNA
Source: RNAcentral
AACGAACGCUGGCGGCAGGCUUAACACAUGCAAGUCGAACGGGUGCAGCAAUGCAUCAGUGGCAGACGGGUGAGUAACACGUGGGAACCUUCCUAGGGGUACGGAACAACUCAGGGAAACUUGAGCUAAUACCGUAUACGUCCGUAAGGAGAAAGAUUCAUCGCCCCUAGACGGCCCGCGUCGGAUUAGGUAGUUGGUGGGGUAACGGCCUACCAAGCCUGCGAUCCGUAGCUGANCUGAGAGGAUGAUCAGCCACACUGGGACUGAGACACGGCCCAGACUCCUACGGGAGGCAGCAGUGGGGAAUCUUGGACAAUGGGCGGCAAGCCUGAUCCAGCCAUGCCGCGUGAGUGAAGAAGGCC